RNAcentral lists this ribosomal RNA (492 nucleotides) under uncultured bacterium. RNAcentral describes it as "partial 16S ribosomal RNA". It matches the Rfam family "Bacterial small subunit ribosomal RNA", at positions 29 to 507 of the family's 1533-position model. The record is from RNAcentral.
AGUGAACGCUGGCGGUAGGCCUAAUACAUGCAAGUCGAACGGCAGCACAGUAAGAGCUUGCUCUUACGGGUGGCGAGUGGCGGACGGGUGAGGAAUACAUCGGAAUCUACUUUUUCGUGGGGGAUAACGUAGGGAAACUUACUCUAAUACCGCAUACGACCUACGGUUGAAAGCAGGGGAUCUUCGGACCUUGCGCGAUUGAAUGAGCCGAUGUCGGAUUAGCUAGUUGGCGGGGUAAAGGCCCACCAAGGCGACGAUCCGUAGCUGGUCUGAGAGGAUGAUCAGCCACACGGGAACUGAGACACGGUCCAGACUCCUACGGGAGGCAGCAGUGGGGAAUAUUGGACAAUGGGCGCAAGCCUGAUCCAGCCAUACCGAGUGGGUGAAGAAGGCCUUCGGGUUGUAAAGCCCUUUUGUUGGGAAAGAAAAGCAGCAGGUUAAUACCCAGCUGUUCUGACGGUACCCAAAGAAUAAGCACCGGCUAACUUCGUG